This 253-nucleotide ribosomal RNA is filed under the name uncultured bacterium. Its description in RNAcentral is "partial 16S ribosomal RNA". It matches the Rfam family "Bacterial small subunit ribosomal RNA", at positions 524 to 776 of the family's 1533-position model. The record is from RNAcentral.
UACAGGGGGUGCAAACGUUGCUCGGAAUUAUUGGGCGUAAAGCGCGUGUAGGCGGUUCGGUAAGUCCGCUGUGAAAGUCGGGGGCUCAACCCUCGGAUGCCGGUGGAUACUGUCGAGCUUGAGUACGGAAGAGGCGAGUGGAAUUCCUGGUGUAGCGGUGAAAUGCGCAGAUAUCAGGAGGAACACCAAUUGCGAAGGCAGCUCGCUGGGACGUUACUGACGCUGAGACGCGAAAGCGUGGGGAGCAAACAGG